GAUGAAGAACGUAGCGAAAUGCGAUACUUGGUGUGAAUUGCAGAAUCCCGUGAACCAUCGAGUCUUUGAACGCAAGUUGCGCCCGAAGCCAUUAGGCCGAGGGCACGCCUGCCAGGGCGUCACACGUCGUUGCCCCCCCCAUCUACUCCUUCGGGAUUGCGGGGGGCGGAUGAUGGCCUCCCGUGCGCCUCGCCGCGCGGUUGGCAUAAAUGCCAAGUCCUCGGCGACGCACGCCACGACAAUCGGUGGUUGCGAAACCUCGGUUGCCCGUCGUGUGCGGUCGUCGCGCAUCGAGGGCUCGAAAAAAUUGCCGAGUUCCGGCUCGGCUUUCAACGCGACCCCAGGUCAGGCGGGGUUACCCGCUGAAUUUAAGCAUAUCAAUAAGCGGAGGA
Molecule: unclassified non-coding RNA, 392 nt
Filed under: soil metagenome
Description: partial contains 5.8S ribosomal RNA, internal transcribed spacer 2, and large subunit ribosomal RNA
Rfam family: 5.8S ribosomal RNA (bases 1-122)
Source: RNAcentral